This 440-nucleotide ribosomal RNA is filed under the name uncultured bacterium. Its description in RNAcentral is "bacterial SSU rRNA". It matches the Rfam family "Bacterial small subunit ribosomal RNA", at positions 338 to 770 of the family's 1533-position model. The record is from RNAcentral.
CCUACGGGAGGCAGCAGUGGGGAAUAUUGCACAAUGGGGGAAACCCUGAUGCAGCCAUGCCGCGUGUGUGAAGAAGGCCUUCGGGUUGUAAAGCACUUUCAGUAGGGAGGAAAGGGUGAGUCUUAAUACGGCUCAUCUGUGACGUUACCUACAGAAGAAGGACCGGCUAACUCCGUGCCAGCAGCCGCGGUAAUACGGAGGGUCCGAGCGUUAAUCGGAAUUACUGGGCGUAAAGCGUGCGCAGGCGGUUUGUUAAGCGAGAUGUGAAAGCCCUGGGCUCAACCUAGGAAUAGCAUUUCGAACUGGCGAACUAGAGUCUUGUAGAGGGGGGUAGAAUUCCAGGUGUAGCGGUGAAAUGCGUAGAGAUCUGGAGGAAUACCGGUGGCGAAGGCGGCCCCCUGGACAAAGACUGACGCUCAUGCACGAAAGCGUGGGGAGCA